Molecule: unclassified non-coding RNA, 351 nt
Filed under: soil metagenome
Description: partial contains 5.8S ribosomal RNA, internal transcribed spacer 2, and large subunit ribosomal RNA
Rfam family: 5.8S ribosomal RNA (bases 3-119)
Source: RNAcentral
GAGAAGAACGUAGUGAAAUGCGAUAAGUAAUGUGAAUUGCAGAAUUCAGUGAAUCAUCGAAUCUUUGAACGCACAUUGCGCCCGCCAGUAUUCUGGCGGGCAUGCCUGUUCGAGCGUCAUUACAACCCUCAGGCCCCCGGGCCUGGCGUUGGGGAUCGGCGGAGCCCCCCGUGGGCACACGCCGUCCCCCAAAUGCAGUGGCGGUCCCGCCGCAGCUUCCAUCGCGUAGUAGCUAACACCUCGCGACUGGAGAGCGGCGCGGCCACGCCGUAAAACACCCAACUCUUCUGAAGUUGACCUCGAAUCAGGUAGGAAUACCCGCUGAACUUAAGCAUAUCAAUAAGCGGAGGA